Molecule: ribosomal RNA, 766 nt
Filed under: Phialophora verrucosa
Lineage: Eukaryota; Fungi; Ascomycota; Eurotiomycetes; Chaetothyriales; Herpotrichiellaceae
Description: eukaryotic LSU rRNA
Rfam family: Eukaryotic large subunit ribosomal RNA
Source: RNAcentral
UCCGAGUUGUAAUUUGUAGAGGAUGUUUUGGGUACCGCCCCGGUUUAAAUUUCUUGGAACAGAAUGUCAAAGAGGGUGAGAAUCCCGUCUUGGACCGGCGGUAGGGCCUGUGUAAAACUCCUUCGACGAGUCGAGUUGUUUGGGAAUGCAGCUCAAAAUGGGUGGUAAAUUUCAUCUAAAGCUAAAUAUUGGCCAGAGACCGAUAGCGCACAAGUAGAGUGAUCGAAAGAUGAAAAGAACUUUGAAAAGAGAGUUAAACAGUAUGUGAAAUUGUUGAAAGGGAAGCGCUUGCAACCAGACUUGAGCGCGACGGUUCCCCUAGCCUUUUGGCUAGGCUACUCCGUCGUGUCCAGGCCAACAUCGGUUCUGAGGGUCGGUCAAAGGCCCCGGGAAUGUACCUACCCACGGGUAGACUUAUAGACCGGGGUGUCAUGCGGCCUCUCGGGACCGAGGAACGCGCUUCGGCUCGGAUGUUGGCGUAAUGGUUGUCAGCGACCCGUCUUGAAACACGGACCAAGGAGUCUAACAUCUAUGCGAGUGUUUGGGUGUCAAACCCGGAACGCGGAAUGAAAGUGAACGGAGGUAGGAAGCUUCGGCUGCACUAUCGACCGAUCCUGAAGUUUACGGAUGGAUUUGAGUAAGAGCAUAGCUGUUGGGACCCGAAAGAUGGUGAACUAUGCCUGAAUAGGGUGAAGCCAGAGGAAACUCUGGUGGAGGCUCGCAGCGGUUCUGACGUGCAAAUCGAUCGUCAAAUUUGGGUAUAGGG